This 253-nucleotide ribosomal RNA is filed under the name uncultured bacterium. RNAcentral's name for it is "partial 16S ribosomal RNA". It matches the Rfam family "Bacterial small subunit ribosomal RNA", at positions 524 to 776 of the family's 1533-position model. The record is from RNAcentral.
UACGUAGGGGGCUAGCGUUGUCCGGAAUCAUUGGGCGUAAAGCGCGUGUAGGCGGUCCGGUAAGUCCGCUGUGAAAGUCGGGGGCUCAACCUGGGAAUGGCAUUGGAAACUGGCGGGCUUGAGUGUGGCAGAGGGGGUUGGAAUUCCGCGUGUAGCAGUGAAAUGCGUAGAGAUGCGGAGGAACACCGAUGGCGAAGGCAGCCCCCUGGGCUGACACUGACGCUCAGGCACGAAAGCGUGGGGAGCAAACAGG